This 614-nucleotide ribosomal RNA is filed under the name Pseudomonas sp. H63A. RNAcentral's name for it is "bacterial SSU rRNA". It matches the Rfam family "Bacterial small subunit ribosomal RNA", at positions 56 to 665 of the family's 1533-position model. Lineage: Bacteria; Pseudomonadati; Pseudomonadota; Gammaproteobacteria; Pseudomonadales; Pseudomonadaceae. The record is from RNAcentral.
UGCUGUCGAGCGGUAGAGAGAAGCUUGCUUCUCUUGAGAGCGGCGGACGGGUGAGUAAUGCCUAGGAAUCUGCCUGGUAGUGGGGGAUAACGUUCGGAAACGGACGCUAAUACCGCAUACGUCCUACGGGAGAAAGCAGGGGACCUUCGGGCCUUGCGCUAUCAGAUGAGCCUAGGUCGGAUUAGCUAGUUGGUGGGGUAAUGGCUCACCAAGGCGACGAUCCGUAACUGGUCUGAGAGGAUGAUCAGUCACACUGGAACUGAGACACGGUCCAGACUCCUACGGGAGGCAGCAGUGGGGAAUAUUGGACAAUGGGCGAAAGCCUGAUCCAGCCAUGCCGCGUGUGUGAAGAAGGUCUUCGGAUUGUAAAGCACUUUAAGUUGGGAGGAAGGGCAGUAGAUUAAUACUCUGCUGUUUUGACGUUACCGACAGAAUAAGCACCGGCUAACUCUGUGCCAGCAGCCGCGGUAAUACAGAGGGUGCAAGCGUUAAUCGGAAUUACUGGGCGUAAAGCGCGCGUAGGUGGUUAGUUAAGUUGGAUGUGAAAUCCCCGGGGCUCAACCUGGGAACUGCAUUCAAAACUGACUGACUAGAGUAUGGUAGAGGGUGGUGGA